Parelaphostrongylus tenuis is the source of this 72-nucleotide non-coding RNA. The record is from the annotation of a GenBank genome assembly. Lineage: Eukaryota; Metazoa; Nematoda; Chromadorea; Rhabditida; Metastrongylidae.
GGUCGGUAGUGCAACGGUUCAGCAUGCGUUCUCGGAAAGAAUGAGAUCUGGGUUCGAAUCCCAGCUGAAGCA